UACAGAGGGUGCAAGCGUUAUUCGGAAUUAUUGGGCGUAAAGCGCAUGUAGGCGGUUUGGUAAGUCUGAUGUGAAAUCCCUCGGCUUAAUCGGGGAAGUGCAUCGGAUACUGCCAGACUGGAGUGCAGGAGAGGAGAACGGAAUUCCUGGUGUAGAGGUAAAAUUCGUAGAUAUCAGGAGGAACAACUGCGGCGAAGGCGGUUCUCUGGACUGCAACUGACGCUGAGAUGCGAAAGCGUGGGGAGCAAACAGG
This 253-nucleotide ribosomal RNA is filed under the name uncultured bacterium. Its description in RNAcentral is "partial 16S ribosomal RNA". It matches the Rfam family "Bacterial small subunit ribosomal RNA", at positions 524 to 776 of the family's 1533-position model. The record is from RNAcentral.